AGAGUUUCAUUCAAGGGCAGGAUAAACGCUGGCGGCGUGCUUAACACCUGCAAGUCGAACGAAGUUUUUCUUUCGGGAGGAACUUAGUGGCGGACGGGUGAGUAACGCGUGGGUAACCUGCCCUGUACAGGGGGACAACAGCUGGAAACGGCUGCUAAUACCGCAUAAGCCCUUAGCACUGCAUGGUGCAUAGGGAAAAGGAGCAGUCCGGUACAGGAUGGACCCGCGUCUGAUUAGCCAGUUGGCAGGGUAACGGCCUACCAAAGCGACGAUCAGUAGCCGAUCUGAGAGGAUGUACGGCCACAUUGGGACUGAGACACGGCCCAGACUCCUACGGGAGGCAGCAGUGGGGAAUAUUGCACAAUGGAGGAAACUCUGAUGCAGCGACGCCGCGUGAGUGAAGAAGUAUUUCGGUAUGUAAAGCUCUAUCAGCAGGGAAGAAAAUGACGGUACCUGACUAAGAAGCACCGGCUAAAUACGUGCCAGCAGCCGCGGUAAUACGUAUGGUGCAAGCGUUAUCCGGAUUUACUGGGUGUAAAGGGAGCGUAGGUGGCAAGGCAAGCCAGAAGUGAAAACCCGGGGCUCAACCGCGGGAUUGCUUUUGGAACUGUCAUGCUAGAGUGCAGGAGGGGUGGGCGGAAUUCCUAGUGUAGCGGUGAAAUGCGUAGAUAUUAGGAGGAACACCGGAGGCGAAGGCGGCUCACUGGACUGUAACUGACACUGAGGCUCGAAAGCGUGGGGAGCAAACAGGAUUAGAUACCCUGGUAGUCCACGCGGUAAACGAUGAAUACUAGAUGUCGGGUAGCAUAGCUAUUCGGUGUCGUCGCAAACGCAAUAAGUAUUCCACCUGGGGAGUACGUUCGCAAGAAUGAAACUCAAAGGAAUUGACGGGGACCCGCACAAGCGGUGGAGCAUGUGGUUUAAUUCGAAGCAACGCGAAGAACCUUACCUGCUCUUGACAUCCCAUUCGAUAGAGGGUAAUGCCUCUAGCCCUUCGGGGGAAUGGAGACAGGUGGUGCAUGGUUGUCGUCAGCUCGUGUCGUGAGAUGUUGGGUUAAGUCCCGCAACGAGCGCAACCCUUAUUGUCAGUAGCCAGCAGGUGAAGCUGGGCACUCUGAUGAGACUGCCGGGGAUAACCCGGAGGAAGGUGGGGAUGACGUCAAAUCAUCAUGCCCCUUAUGAGCAGGGCUACACACGUGCUACAAUGGCGUAAACAGAGGGAAGCGAAGGAGUGAUCUGGAGCAAAUCUCAAAAAUAACGUCUCAGUUCGGAUUGUAGUCUGCAACUCGACUACAUGAAGCUGGAAUCGCUAGUAAUCGCAGAUCAGAAUGCUGCGGUGAAUACGUUCCCGGGUCUUGUACACACCGCCCGUCACACCAUGGGAGUCGGUAAUGCCCGAAGUCAGUGACUCAACCAUAAAGGAGAGAGCUGCCGAAGGCAGGACUGGUAACUGGGGUGAAGAGGUACAUGGUAUCUUAGGGCGGAUUCGUUUAAUCUGCAGGAUAGUCCUUUUGGGAGGGUAAUCUGAGACUGCGUAUCUGGGAUAGUGUCU
Molecule: ribosomal RNA, 1552 nt
Filed under: uncultured bacterium
Lineage: Bacteria
Description: bacterial SSU rRNA
Rfam family: Bacterial small subunit ribosomal RNA
Source: RNAcentral